Molecule: ribosomal RNA, 521 nt
Filed under: uncultured bacterium
Lineage: Bacteria
Description: partial 16S ribosomal RNA
Rfam family: Bacterial small subunit ribosomal RNA
Source: RNAcentral
GACGAACGCUGGCGGCGUGCCUAAUACAUGCAAGUCGAGCGGGCCUCCGGAGGUGCUUGCACCUCCGGAAGGCCAGCGGCGGACGGGUGAGUAACACGUGGGCAACCUGCCUUUGAGGCCGGGAUAACACCGGGAAACCGGUGCUAAUACCGGAUACGUCCUCUUUCGCGCCUGCGAGAGGGGAGAAAGACGGUCUUUAAGGCCGUCGCUCAAAGAGGGGCCCGCGGCGCAUUAGCUGGUUGGGGGGGUAAGGGCCUACCAAGGCGACGAUGCGUUGCCGGCCUGAGAGGGUGAACGGCCACACUGGGACUGAGACACGGCCCAGACUCCUGCGGGAGGCAGCAGUAGGGAAUCAUCCGCAAUGGGCGAAAGCCUGACGGUGCAACGCCGCGUGAGUGAGGAAGGUUUUCGGAUCGUAAAGCUCUGUUGUGAGGGAAGAACAGCUUCCGGAGGAAAUGCCGGAGGUUUGCCGGUACCUCACCAGAAAGCCCCGGCUAACUACGUGCCAGCCGCCGCUGUAA